This is a non-coding RNA of Paralichthys olivaceus (Japanese flounder), 1059 nucleotides long. The record is from RefSeq and is a predicted model, not a curated record. Lineage: Eukaryota; Metazoa; Chordata; Actinopteri; Pleuronectiformes; Paralichthyidae.
GAAAGAGUAACAGAGUGAUGUUAAUUGCUGCUUCUCUCUCUGUGCAGACCAACCAGUCAGUGUGGAGACCUGCAGGACUCUGACCAAUGAGCUGCAGAGCUGUUUCAAAAGAGCCACUCACCUGUACAGGAAGCUGAGUGGUUCCUCCACUGAUGACUCCGCCCCCGACCAGCAUCAGAUGGCUAGCCUCCUAUCAGAGGCUUUCCAGGCCAUGAGGGCGGAGCUUGACUCCCUCCCGCUCAGUGGGCCGGGCAUGCUGGGGGUAGGGGGGGGGCUUGGUGGAGUAGGGGAGGUGAAGACAGCCGCUCUGCUGGAGGAAUACUCACUGCUCCUGCUGCAGGCCGUACACAGGAGGAACAACAGCGGCCCCUGCUGAGUGACAACCCUCCACCUCCUCUUCCUCAUUAGUUUCAGAGACUGAACCUGGAGGAGCUUGUGUCCGUCAGUCUGAAGCAUCUUUAGUCCAGUGUUCAUUGUUGUAGAGAAGCAAAUUGUCGUCACACAGACUUCCUGUUUCUGAUGGAAAUGAUCAACACUUGUAUGUUUUCACUUCCGGUCUGUCCGGUUUAAAUCCAGCGACGGGUUUUUCCGUCAAUCAAAGAGGUCAAAGUUCAGUUUGAAAUAUUUUCAUGUUUUUCAAUUCAAUAAAAGUUUGAGGCUUCUCUCGAUGGUUGUGUUUUAAUAAGAGCUUGAAGCCGAUUGGUCGAGAAGAUGCUCUAUUUAUUCCAUCAUCCAGGUUUGAGGUUUUAUCCUCAGUGUGUUUGUGUCAGUGUGACGUCAGCUCACGAGGACAUGUAUGUUCACAUGAAAAUGUGUUUUUAUUGUGUUGAACAAAGAAUCAGAUGCAAAGUUUCAAACCUUUAGUGUUUUUAUACUUCACUUUAUAUGAAUACACGAAGCACUUUUUAAUAUAAUUCUUAAAAUUAUAGCCGCUCGGAUCCUUUGUGUCGUUUCCAUGGUUUUAUUUCAGUAAAUGUUCUGAAUUGUCCCAAAACCUUUUCAUUCACGUCACAGUGUUGUUUCAACUGAAGGAAUUAAAAGCACAAUGUUCACUUAAAA